AGAGUUUGAUCAUGGCUCAGGAUGAACGCUAGCGGCAGGCUUAACACAUGCAAGUCGAGGGGCAGCGCGGGGUAGCAAUACUCUGGCGGCGACCGGCAGAAGGGUGCGUAACGCGUGAACAACAUACCCGAUACAGGGGGAAAAGCGGUGGAAACGCCGUCUAAUACCGCAUAACGCCAGGGGGCGACAUCGUCCCGUGGCCAAGCCCGAGAGGGGGUAACGGAUUGGUUCGCGAUACAUUAGCCAGUUGGUGGGGUAACGGCCCACCAAAGCGACGAUGUAUAGGGGUUCUGAGAGGAAGGUCCCCCACACUGGAACUGAGACACGGUCCAGACUCCUACGGGAGGCAGCAGUGAGGAAUAUUGGACAAUGGUCGGAAGACUGAUCCAGCCAUGCCGCGUGAAGGUAAGGGUCCUAUGGACUAUCAACUUCUUUUGUACGGGAGCAAUAAGGCCCACGAGUGGGUUGAUGAGAGUACCGUACGAAUAAGCAUCGGCUAACUCCGUGCCAGCAGCCGCGGUAAUACGGAGGAUGCGAGCGUUAUCCGGAUUUAUUGGGUUUAAAGGGUGCGCAGGCGGGCUGACAAGUCAGGGGUGAAAUAUCCGCGCGCAACGCGGGGGGUGCCCAUGAGACUGUCGGUCUUGGAUACGGUUGGCGUGGGAGGAAUGUAGUGUAGCGGUGAAAUGCAUAGAUAUUACACAGAAGGCCGAUUGCGAAAGCAUCUCACGAAGCCGGGAUUGACGCUGAGGCACGAAAGUGUGGGGAUCGAACAGGAUUAGAUACCCUAGUAGUCC
This 794-nucleotide ribosomal RNA is filed under the name uncultured bacterium. RNAcentral describes it as "partial 16S ribosomal RNA". It matches the Rfam family "Bacterial small subunit ribosomal RNA", at positions 8 to 796 of the family's 1533-position model. The record is from RNAcentral.